CAACUUUCCUGGGUCUCUCCAUGCAGUCCUUCUUUUUAUGUGUCAGCGCACCACAGUUCUCACAAGCUCCUUUCCGAUAUCUGGUAGCUAUAGAGUGCUCUUUCACUCCCCGUUUGUACCAGUCUCCUGAGGAGCUGUACUGCUUCUGCUUCUCUGGCUGAGGCCUCUGAUGCUUUAGGGUUGGUCUUUUGGAAGGAUCUAUGUACCACGGGACUGAAGAUAUGUACUGAGGAAUGUGAGGAUUGAUAUCCUUUCCUUCCUCAUCCACCUCAGCAGGCGCAUUCCCCAGCUUCCUCUGUUCCUCCAAUUCCUUCUUUUUCCUCCAGUCCUCCCUCGUCAUCUUCUUCGGCUCCUCCAGGCUCACAUCGCCCGGCCCUCCCGAAGGAGCUGCGUUUACCGCUGUCCCA
This 407-nucleotide long non-coding RNA is filed under the name Gallus gallus (chicken). Lineage: Eukaryota; Metazoa; Chordata; Aves; Galliformes; Phasianidae. The record is from RNAcentral.